Molecule: long non-coding RNA, 5038 nt
Filed under: Sus scrofa (pig)
Lineage: Eukaryota; Metazoa; Chordata; Mammalia; Artiodactyla; Suidae
Description: lncRNA (ENSSSCG00065002233.1)
Source: RNAcentral
UUUUUUUUUUUUUUUUUUUUUUUUUUUUUGUCUUUUUGCCAUUUCUUAGGCCACUCCUGUGGCAUGUGGAGGUUCCCGGGCUAGGGCUCUAGAAAAAGGAAAAAAAAAAAGAACAAAAUAAUGACAUUUGCAGCAAGAUGGAUGGAACUAGAGACUCUCCUACUAAGUGAAGUAAGACAGAAGGAGAAAGACAAAUACCAUAUGAUAUCACAUAUCUGGAAUCUAAAAUAUGGCACAAAUGAACCUAUCUACUGAAAAGAAACAAACUCACCGACACAGAGAACAGACUUGUGAUUGCCAAGGUGGAGGAGAAGGGAGUGGGAUGGACUGGGAGUUUGGGGUUUGUAGACACAAACUAUUGCAUUUGGAGUGGAUAAGCAAGGAGAUCCUGCUGUAUAGCCUAGGGAACUAUAUCUAGUCAUUUGUGAUGGAACAUGAAGAAGGAUAAUGUGAGAAAAAGAAUGCAUAUAAAUGUAUAAUUGGGUCACUUUGCUGUACAGCAGAAAUUGACAGAACAUUGUAAGUCAACUAUAAUAAAUAAAAUUUUUUAAAUAAAAAGUGUUUUAAAAAAGACACCUUUACCUUCCCCACAGGUAUUUAUUACCUAUGGGAGCAAAAAAUAUAUUAACAUCUUGUCAUUAAUAAGAUACAGAACAGUAACAUUUCAGCAUGCUUAACUGGUACCCAGUCAUUCCACAAUUAGGGAGUCAUCUUAUAUCUCUGGGCUGCUCCCCAGCAAAGAUAAGACUAGAAUAAAAUCUCACUGUAUUAACUGUCAAGGUAAUUUGCUUUUUUGGGGGGGGGGGAGCUGUGCCUGUGCCAUAUAGAAGUUCCCAGGCUAGGGGGUGAAUCAGAGCUGUAGCUGCCAGCCAAUGCUACAGCCACAGCAACGUGAGAUCCAUGCUGCAUCCGUGACCUACACCACAGCUCAUGACAGUGUCAGACUGCUGACCCACUGAGUGAGGCCAGGUGUCAAACCUGCAUCCUCAUGGAUACUCAUUGGAUUUGUUUCCGCUGUGCCACAAUGGGAACUCCCCAUAAUUUGCUAUUUAAGAAUAUAACAGUUCUAAUGUGUUGUGUUAUAUGAAUCUCUCUUCCCCAGAUAACACAUCCAAAUCCCUCUCUCACCAAACCUCAAACCUACACCCAGUAUGCUUCCAGACCAACACUGUUCAAGAGAAUUUUCUGCAGUGAUGAAAAUGUUCUACGGUUUAUUGUCCAAAUUCACUAGCCACAAGCCCUAUGUAGCUGUUGAACACUUGAGGUAUGGCUAGUGCAACUGGAAAACUGACUUUUUAAUUAUAUUUUAUUUUAAUUAAUAAAUGUAAACAACCCCCUAUGGUUAAUGGUUACCUUGUUAGAGCUGAGAUUAUUUCGUUAUCUGAUUUUUGCUUGAAUGCUUAGAUAAGAUUAAUUUGAGUGAACCUAUGGCACAGAACUUCAAAACAUGGGCUUUGCUUUCAGAUCACUUACUAGACAUGUGACCAUAGCAAGUUAUUUCCACUUGUUAAUUGCCAGUCCCAUCAAUCUGAAAAAACAGGGUGAAAGUCCCUUUUCUGAAAAAUAGGGUAAAUAAUAGUUCCUUUCUUAACUAACGUAGUGAGAACUAAAUGAGAAAGUGCAGGUAAAGCACCUGGCAAAAAAGCUGACAUAUAUGAGGCACAAAAUUAAUGUUUAAUUGUAGCAGAGACAACAAUGAUUAACAGUAGAUUAACUGCCCAGAUAAAAGAUGAGGAGGAAGACAUAUAUUGCAAAAGAUAACUGGAGAAUUUUUUGUUAUUUUAAGAUAUCUGGGUGCUCUUUUAUUUCUUCAUUAAUGUUUUGCAUGACUGGACUAAAUGUAAAUAAAACUGGAUUAGCACCUCGAUGUCAAAAACUCAAGAAGUUCCCGUUGCAGCACAGCAGAGGUGAGUCCAACUAGGAACCAUGAGGUUUUGGGUUUGAUCCCUGGCCUCACUCAGUGGGUUGAGGAUCUGUCAUUGCAGUGAGCUGUGGUGUGGGUUGCAGAUGCAGCUCAGAUCCCACGUUGCUGUGGCUCUGGCUAGGCCGGCAGCUACAGCUCCAAUUGGACCCCUGGCCUGGGAGCCUCCAUGUGCUGCGGGUGUGGCCCUAAAAAAAAAAACCAAAAAAAAACUCUAGAAAACUUUACCAUUGACAAACCUCCCAUUAUGAAAGUCCCUUUCUCCAGAAACUAUAGAUGUCUGAAUUUUCCAAUUUGAAUAAAAUCCCAAUUAAAAAUUAAACUAUUUCAAAGUGACUAGGCUGGUGCAUAGGAAGACUAAGCAUAACUUAUACUGAUAUUUCUUUCUAAUGCUAGUCCUUGACUUCAUUGAAGGAAUUUAUUCACAUUUCGUAACACUUCUCAUGUCUGCCAUGUCUCCUUUCUGCCUUAAUAUAUGCAACACACUGAGGAAAAUCACCCUUAAUAAGAUUUAUGUUCUGGGUGGAAAAAUCUAUGAUGGGUUUUUCCUUUCAUUGAAUUCCAUGCUGACAGGUUUCUAAAUUACUCAAAAUCUUGCAUAACAAUUGCAUAAUGUGCAAAUAUUUUAGUACAAAUUGUCUUACUAGGAAACAAAAUGUUAGCAGCCAAGCUCUGAUGAACUAGCUGUCUUUUAUAAAAAGAACUCAACUCUUUUUUUUAACCAUAUACUAAAAUUUCAAAAUAGACUUAAAUGGAAUUUUACAUGGCAAUUUAUAAAGAACAUAAUGUUGUAGAAGCAGAACCCUGCUAGGAAUAUGAAGACCUGGGUUCUAGGUUCAGCUUUGCCACUUCCUAGAUGUGCAUCAGUGUUUUAAAAGGUACCCAGAAUUUGAUUUAGUCACAUUUGGUACUAUGACAUAUAUAAAGACAAUUGCCUUGAAAGAAGAGUUUAUUACUCAUAGUUUCCCCAAAGCGUUCCCCAGAGGGAAGUGGCAUGCCAUACCAUGUCAUAUGGAGACACACCAGGGUCAGUCAGAAGGCAGAAAAAGCUAGGGAAAAGCAUGGGCCAAGUCUUUACUGUGGUUUUCAGCAAAAGGAACAGGCAAGGUGGGUAGGCAAACUAAAAGAGUUUCAAUGGGCUCUGGGCCAUAGGGGUGGUUCCCAGUUAUCCAGUAACUGGCCCUGGGGUGACUUAGGACAGGGGCGUAAUGUCCCAGAUGUUGGAACCUAAUAAAAGGAGGUGGGAGACAGAUAUUGAUUUGAGAUUGGUUGCUUGCAUAUAAAAGAAAUGCUGAAGCAAGCUGUUUGCUAUCUCUAGAAAUUAGCCAACCCUGGGAGAGGCAGUCCUUUCCCUGGGUCCACAAGUUCCUAAGACAUCAAAGCAUUCUAAAAUGUAAAUAAAAAGAAAACAAAGUACAUGCUAUCAAUGAAAAUAUUUAACCUCUGUAAACUUCAGUACCCUCAAAGUUAUAAAAAUGAGGAAAAUAAUCCCUGCAUCUUCCUUACUCACAGUCAUCAAAGAGUAAAAUGGGAUCUAGGCAGGGUGCCACUAGUAUCUUCUUGCAAAUACUCUGCUACGCUACUCUCAAAAUAAAACUACUGAAAAGUACUUAACUACUAAAACCACUAAGUUACAAAAAUCUAUUUCUGAGGCUGAAAUGUUAGCUUUGUGAAGGAGAUAUAUCUAGAGCCUCAGAUGGAAGGAGUACGUGGCAACUCAAAUCAGACCAGCUAGAGGGUAAGCUGUUACAGGAAAUCAUUAGUGCCCUGAGUGCACAGGAGAGCUAUGGGCUGAUGGUCAGUGAUCAUGGCAGUAGUGGUCCACUCCAGCAGUCCACUAUAGCCUUCGCAGGGCUCAUCAACCAUACUGGGUAACCUUGCUACUCCUGAGUGGUAACUGGAUCCUGCUAUGGAAUAAAUUACCUUGCUUUUGAUGAUUAGGAAAAGAAUCAAAAGGUAAAUCGUUUACUAUUCCCCAUGAAUGUUUUUGCCAAUUUUAUAUACAAACAGUUCAUUUGAUUCUUUGGUUAGUUUUGAUUUUUUUUCAAGUCUUGUUAUAAGUGACAUUUCCUUCUACACAGUUAAAGCUGGAGACUACUUGAAACAAAAUCAACAUAGAUAUACUUAUAAUCCAUAAGUUGCCUUUUGAAAGAAAUCAGUAAGGCAUUUGAAUUGCUCCAAGGUGGAAACUGUUGAGUAUUUGUGUGUGUGAGAGUGUGUGUGUGAUGCAUCUCUGUGAAAUACCUUAAAUAUAUGACUCUUCCAUCCAAACAUUUAUGAAAAAUGAGAAGUCUCAGAUCAAGUAUAAAAGAGGGUAGUUGUGAGAAACUGUUUAGAGAAUGGCAAUAAAAGAGCUUUUAGAGAGUUGUGAAGAGCCCUCUACUUAGUCACUGUAUGAUCCCAAGUGGCCACCUUUGUCCAUGUCACUAUCCUCAUCUAUAAAAUGGGGAUAAUGAUACUUCCUCUCUUGAGAGACAGGUAUGAAGACAUUCAAAUGUGAAAAUAAAAAGGAAAGACCAAGGAAAGAAAAAGCACUUCAGAAGUAUACUAGAAUAAAAUGUGUGUUAUGAUUUCCUUGAGUACAGAUAUGUAUGACCAAGAAAUUAAAGUACAAUUUAGCAACCUACAAACGAUCCAACUUCCUCCAUAAAAUUAUCUACUUGUUUAUAGUUACAAUUUGUGCUGCAUUUACGAGUUUACUUCCAAUCAACAGUUUACUAUUUGACAUUUCAGAAGUAUUUCUCUUCAGCAUACAUUCAUUAAACGCCUAAUAACAACAUUGUGCUAGACACACUGGAAAAAUAGUGGAAUGCAAUAACUGUCUUCAAGCCAUUGAUAGUUCAAUACUGGAGUAUAAAAAACUACAUACAAAAAUAACUGCAUUAUAGGUUGGACGUGAUGUCUAAUUAGAAAAUCCAAAAGACAGACAACAGAUUCAAGACAUAGAGGCUUCAUUUCUGACUGCAAGAUUGGAGAAGCCCUUGUGGAACAGGUCACCCCUAAGUUGAGCCUUGGAAAUUUAUAGAACUAUAACAUGAACAUGAGGGUAAAAGACACUGCAGAAAUUGUAACUAUGCAUAAGAACCCAUAAAAAAGAAAACAAAACUGGCAUAUGAU